Molecule: ribosomal RNA, 492 nt
Filed under: uncultured bacterium
Lineage: Bacteria
Description: partial 16S ribosomal RNA
Rfam family: Bacterial small subunit ribosomal RNA
Source: RNAcentral
AGUGAACGCUGGCGGUAGGCCUAACACAUGCAAGUCGAACGGCAGCACAGUAAGAGCUUGCUCUUACGGGUGGCGAGUGGCGGACGGGUGAGGAAUACAUCGGAAUCUACUUUUUCGUGGGGGAUAACGUAGGGAAACUUACGCUAAUACCGCAUACGACCUACGGGUGAAAGCAGGGGAUCUUCGGACCUUGCGCGAUUGAAUGAGCCGAUGUCGGAUUAGCUAGUUGGCGGGGUAAAGGCCCACCAAGGCGACGAUCCGUAGCUGGUCUGAGAGGAUGAUCAGCCACACUGGAACUGAGACACGGUCCAGACUCCUACGGGAGGCAGCAGUGGGGAAUAUUGGACAGUGGGCGCAAGCCUGAUCCAGCCAUCCCGCGUGGGUGAAGAAGGCCUUCGGGUUGUAAAGCCCUUUUGUUGGGAAAGAAAAGCAGCAGGUUAAUACCCCGCUGUUCUGACGGUACCCAAAGAAUAAGCACCGGCUAACUUCGUG